RNAcentral lists this ribosomal RNA (551 nucleotides) under Heterodera cruciferae. Its description in RNAcentral is "eukaryotic LSU rRNA". It matches the Rfam family "Eukaryotic large subunit ribosomal RNA", at positions 597 to 939 of the family's 3401-position model. The record is from RNAcentral. Lineage: Eukaryota; Metazoa; Nematoda; Chromadorea; Rhabditida; Heteroderidae.
GCGCUGAGAUGCUCGGGGCAGCUGCAAGCCUGGCUUUGAGGCCAGCCCUCGGGCUGGUACCCGGGCUGGGGGAGUGCUGUUUGUUCUGGGUGUAUGUGUGUGAUGGUCACGGGUUCGUGCUGGUUCGAGCUGGCGGUCGGUGGCGGUCGCUUGCGACACGUACCAGCAGUUAGUUCGGUCCGGUUCGGGCUCUCAUUGCAUGUUCUCGGUGUAAAAGCCGGUUAUCUGUUUGACCCGUCUUGAAACACGGACCAAGGAGUUUAGCGUAUGCGCGAGUCAUUGGGUGUUGAAAACCCAAGGGCGUAAUGAAAGUAAAGGUGUCCUUGCGGAACUGAUGUGUGAUCCCGAGCACUUCGGUGCGAGGGCGCAACAUUGUCCCGUCUCGAUCGCUUGCGAUGGGGCGGAGACAGAGCGUAUGCGCUGAGACCCGAAAGAUGGUGAACUAUUCCUGAGCAGGAUGAAGCCAGAGGAAACUCUGGUGGAAGUCCGAAGCGAUUCUGACGUGCAAAUCGAUCGUCUGACUUGGGUAUAGGGGCGAAAGACUAAUCGAA